CAAUAGCGUAUUUUAACGUUGUUGCAGUUAAAAGGCUCGUAGUCGAACUUAUGGUUUUUCCAGGUGGUCCAAGAGUUUUUACACUCUUUGUGUACCACUUUCAAAAUCAUCCUUUUGGAAGAAUUUAUGUGCCCUUGAUUGGGUGUCAUAGAGGAUCCAGAUCUUUUACUGUGAGUAAAUCAGAGUGUUCAAAGCAGGCUUUAUGCUUGUAUGCUGUAGCAUGGAAUAAUAAGAUAGGACUUUUGUCUUAUUUUGUUGGCUUUUAGGACAAAAGUAAUGAUGGAUAGGAAUAAUCGGGGGUGCUAGUAUUUAACGGUCAGCGGUGAAAUGCAUGGACCCGUUAAAGACUAACUUAUGCGAAAGCAUUCACCAAGGAUAUUUNCUUUGA
RNAcentral lists this ribosomal RNA (388 nucleotides) under uncultured eukaryote. RNAcentral's name for it is "partial 18S ribosomal RNA". It matches the Rfam family "Eukaryotic small subunit ribosomal RNA", at positions 592 to 976 of the family's 1831-position model. The record is from RNAcentral.